CCGCGGGGCUGUGUUUACAGCCGCUUGCCUUUGUUUGUAGCGCUCGGAGGGAAACAUCCCCCCCGUUUGCCCUCCCCCGCCGCCCCGCCUAGCUGCCCCGGCUGAUAAACCCGCGGGCCUCGGCCCCGCCGCCGCCACCCCCGAGCUCCGCUUUCGUUUGCGGAAGGCGCACGGUCCCGCGGGCCCCCUCCCCGUCGGGCCGGUCGGUAACUCCUGUCCCUUUUGGAAACGCUGAUUUCCUCAGACCUGGGCUCCUCUCUGGACCCGCUAGGAAGGACCGCUUUUAAUUGCUCGGUAAUGAGGAUGUUGCCAUUUUCUAAGGAGCAGUCAUUCCUGGAGCUAAAUCACAAGAGCCCUAGACAGGCCGGAGCCGACAAAAAUAGAAACGACAGCAACGUGUCCCCCCCGGGCUGCGAGCCUCGGCCCGGCGCCUCCCCGCUGCCCCCGAGGGAGGUGUAACGGGGCCUUUCGGGCCAAGCCGCAGACACCCCUAGAGCAAGCGCCGAGACAUCCGCGGGCGGCUGUAAGGACAUAAACACGGCCAGGAGAUGCCAUUGAGACACCGUGAUCUUGAAAGGGGGGUGAGGGGAAGAGAGGAAGAGGGUUAAUAAUAAAACCCCUAAGCAAAAUACUCUCCUCUUGCGCUUGGAAAUCUAACCUUAAUCCGCCUUUUUUCACACGUACUCGCCCAGCGACUCACAAAUACACCCAGAAGAAACAUCUAUGUAGCGAGGGGAAGGAAACCCGCUCCAUUCUCCUGCGAACACAAUCCCCUCUGCUGUAACGAGGGGCUUAUCAAUGUUUUAUUUAUUUUUAAUUUGGGGUUUGAGUGGGUUUUUUUUUUCUUCGCGCACCAUGAAAUAUCUGCCCCUGCAAACGAGCUCCAAUCUUUUCCAUUUCUAAUUGGCCAAUUACUGUUCAGCUGUUCCAGCUCGCCCCGUACAAUGGAGAUUAAAGCAGAGCUGUUAUCUGAAUUAUACGUUCACAUAAAUUCUAGCGAGGCCGGGCGCUGCGGGGCCCGCGCCUCUCUGGGCAGCCCCCGCGGCCCUCGCCUCCCCUUGCGGGGCAGCGCGGUGUGUGUCUCCCGCUUCCCCAGCCCCCUCACUUUCCUCCAGAAAUGUUGUUGCUCUGAUGAUCCGAUUGUGGAGCAUCGAUUACAAAUUUAUUCUCAGACACUAUAUAAGUCUUUAUAUCUGCUAUUAGAGACAUCUGGGAACGAUUAGAGCCCUCCCUCCCCCGGCUCUGCUCCCUCUAUCUUGCAGCGAGGAGCUGGAGACAUGUUGACGUCAGAUCAGACGGCUCGGAGCCAUCCUGCUCUCGAGCUGGGUGUCAUCGCGGCGGCGCUCUCCAAGCCCCGGCCCGGCACCGGCACCGGCACCGGCCCCGGCCCCGGCCCGCCCGCCGGAAUGCGGCGGCACCGGCUCGCCCCGGCCCCCGCGGCAGCGGUGCUUUUGGCCCCGGAGGCUCCGGCCCCUCCGGAGCCGGCCGCCGCGGUUGCCUGCGCCGUGGUUUGCUUGCAGCCUCGGGAAUAAAGCGGCGCACGGCGCGGACGGCGCCCCGCUCCCCGCUCCCCGCUCCCCGGCCCGGCGCUGGCUUCCUCUGGGCAGCGUUUCUCCCGGUGCCGUCGGUCUGUCUUCCAAAGCAAACACCAAGCCAGGCAGAUUUCCGCCUUGUGUCUUGGCUGGCAGGAAUUAGCGAGGCGAAGCGCAAGGCUUUCGUGCGGGCAGUCGCCGGCCGCCUUCCCUGCGCGCUCGCUCCCGCUCUCCAAAGCGGUAGUCGGUUUUGCAGCGAGCCGGGAGAGCUGGAGGCUCUUGCAGAGCAGGGCGAUUCCCCACCCAAACGGCAGUGCUGCUGGCGGAGAAACGGCUUUGCACCUGCUAUUAAAUCCUAAUGAAUCGCAUCUAAUGAGAGCUGAGGCUGCCUGAUAGUAACGCGGGGCAGCCGGCCCGGCCUAUUAGCCCUGGCUCAGCGGGAUCCGAGUUCAUGUUUGUGAUGUUUAUUUUUAUGUAUUUUUACUUUAUUAUUUGGUACGUUUCAUAACACUCGUUUUUCCCAAAGAGAUAAAAAAAUAGUAAUUCAAUAAAUAAACUUGAGCCUCUGCCGUCUGCUCGCAAAGUCUUGGACGGCUGACACUUGUCCAGCUGUACAUCGCAAUCAGUGCUACUACCAGGAAGGGGGGGGGGUGCGGAUGAGAAAGUGGUUGAUCUUGUCUCCAGAGAAAAGAGAUAAUGUUAGAGUAUUUGUCUGAAGGAUUAGAUUCUCGAAGUAAAAUGCUCUUGCCAGGAGAAAAAAGUACUGUGUGACCCUAAAAAAUGCGCUUCCACUUCUUUGUUGCAGCAAAAUAAAAUAAAAGAAAUCCCCUAAGAUACCGCAGCGCUUCAGUGUGUGUCCAUCUGUAAUCUCGAAAGGAAAAGGAACAUUUCCCUUCCAAAUGAGUAAAAGCGGUGUGCUGUGCGCUUGGCUCCCCACCACAUCCACGAACACUGGGGGCUCGGGCAAGGGCGGGGGAGGGGGGGUAGUAAAGAAAAAAGAAAGCAAAAGUAAAGAAAAAAACCCACGGAACAAACCCGAACCAAAACCUCCCAACAAAUCCCAUCCCAGAGCUGCUCGAGAGGCGAUGGUGCUGGCACC
Molecule: long non-coding RNA, 2631 nt
Organism: Dromaius novaehollandiae (emu)
Lineage: Eukaryota; Metazoa; Chordata; Aves; Casuariiformes; Dromaiidae
Exons: 3
Source: RefSeq, a predicted model, not a curated record